GGCUUGCUGGCGCAAUGGUAGCGCGUGGCCCUCCUACUGCUAGGCCAAGGUUGUGGGUUCGAGUCCCACGUAAGUCU
Non-coding RNA from Bimuria novae-zelandiae CBS 107.79, 77 nucleotides. The record is from the annotation of a GenBank genome assembly. NCBI's taxonomy places the organism in Eukaryota, Fungi, Ascomycota, Dothideomycetes, Pleosporales, Didymosphaeriaceae.